UGGGGAAUUUUGGACAAUGGGGGAAACCCUGAUCCAGCCAUUCCGCGUGAGUGAAGAAGGCCUUCGGGUUGUAAAGCUCUUUCAGCAGGAACGAAACGGUCAUUUCUAAUAAAGAUGGCUAAUGACGGUACCUGAAGAAGAAGCACCGGCUAACUACGUGCCAGCAGCCGCGGUAAUACGUAGGGUGCGAGCGUUAAUCGGAAUUACUGGGCGUAAAGCGUGCGCAGGCGGUUUUGUAAGACAGAUGUGAAAUCCCCGGGCUUAACCUGGGAACUGCGUUUGUGACUGCAAGACUCGAGUGUGGCAGAGGGGGGUGGAAUUCCACGUGUAGCAGUGAAAUGCGUAGAGAUGUGGAGGAACACCGAUGGCGAAGGCAGCCCCCUGGGUCAACACUGACGCUCAUGCACGAAAGCGUGGGGAGCAAACAGGAUUAGAUACCCCCGUAGUCC
This 449-nucleotide ribosomal RNA is filed under the name uncultured bacterium. RNAcentral describes it as "bacterial SSU rRNA". It matches the Rfam family "Bacterial small subunit ribosomal RNA", at positions 355 to 796 of the family's 1533-position model. The record is from RNAcentral.